UCUCACAAAGCACAGCUGAAACAUUUACAAAUUAUAUCUGUUCCUUUUUUUUUUUUUUUUUUUUUUUUUUUUUUUUUUUUUUUUUUUU
Pangasianodon gigas (Mekong giant catfish) is the source of this 88-nucleotide non-coding RNA. Lineage: Eukaryota; Metazoa; Chordata; Actinopteri; Siluriformes; Pangasiidae. The record is from the annotation of a GenBank genome assembly.